GAUCGUGUAGCUCAUUGGUAGAGCGCAGGGCAUGUCACCCUGGGAAACUGGUUCGAUUCCAGUCAUGAUCA
Molecule: non-coding RNA, 71 nt
Organism: Aphanomyces cochlioides
Lineage: Eukaryota; Oomycota; Saprolegniomycetes; Saprolegniales; Verrucalvaceae
Source: the annotation of a GenBank genome assembly